Molecule: ribosomal RNA, 301 nt
Filed under: uncultured bacterium
Lineage: Bacteria
Description: partial 16S ribosomal RNA
Rfam family: Bacterial small subunit ribosomal RNA
Source: RNAcentral
CAGCCGCCGCGGGAAUACGUAGGUGGCGAGCGUUGUCCGGAUUUAUUGGGCGUAAAGGGAGUGUAGGCGGUCUUUUAAGUCUGAUGUGAAAGCCCACGGCUCAACCGUGGAGGGUCAUUGGAAACUGGGAGACUUGAGUGCAGAAGAGGAGAGCGGAAUUCCAUGUGUAGCGGUGAAAUGCGUAGAUAUAUGGAGGAACACCAGUGGCGAAGGCGGCUCUCUGGUCUGUAACUGACGCUGAGGCUCGAAAGCGUGGGGAGCAAACAGGAUUAGAUACCCGGGUAGUCCCUGUCUCUUAUAA